UUAAAAAGCUCGUAGUUGGAUUUCUGCGGGGGCGGGGCGGCCGGUUGCUUAUAGCACUCGAGCUAGCACUUCCCCCGCAUCCUGCCGCGAACCGUGCUACCAUUAGUUUGGUGGCGCUGGGGAUCGGCUCGUUUACUUUGAGAAAAAUAGAGUGUUCAAAGCAGGCCACACGCCUUGAAUAAGUUAGCAUGGAAUAAUGAUAAAGGACUUCGGUUCUAUUUUGUUGGUGUUCGGGACUGAAGUAAUGAUUGAUAGGGACAGUUGGGGCGGUCAGUAUUCCAAAGCGAGAGGUGAAAUUCUUAGACCUUCGGAAGACUAACAGCUGCGAAAGCGUUCCG
This 338-nucleotide ribosomal RNA is filed under the name uncultured marine eukaryote. RNAcentral's name for it is "bacterial SSU rRNA". It matches the Rfam family "Eukaryotic small subunit ribosomal RNA", at positions 619 to 958 of the family's 1831-position model. The record is from RNAcentral.